Paramuricea clavata is the source of this 938-nucleotide non-coding RNA. NCBI's taxonomy places the organism in Eukaryota, Metazoa, Cnidaria, Anthozoa, Malacalcyonacea, Plexauridae. The record is from the annotation of a GenBank genome assembly.
CUGAUAUAUUAUUAUAACUUGUUUAAUCAAAAGCUACUAUAUAUUCAUUUAUGAUAUUAAAAAUUGAUAUAAUUUUAUCUAAGUGAGAAUAAUUUUAAAAAAAUAUCCAAAUCUCUACAAGUUCCUUGACAUUAUUUUUCCAGUACAGUGUAAAACUAUAUAUAUAUAAAUGUGACACAGGUUGCAGGUAUUAGGUUGCAUGUCCACCAGUGUGCUGAAAAUUAUACCAUCCAGUGACCCGGUCUGGUUCACAUUGUUACUUGCAUCUUGCUUAAUUCAACUGUUUUCGCCCUACAGUAUUUCUUGUACCCAUAAAGUUCUUUUCAAUAAUCUAGAAAACUUCAAAAUCAUUCAGUAAAUUUAAUUUUAAAAUUGGGUGAAAGGUAAGGGGUCAAUAAUAGAUGAAGAAAUCAUUUCUUAUUGUUCAUACAUACUGUAUGGUAUUAGAGUAGGUAUUAGAGUAGAAAUUUAUUGAAGCCUGAAGUCAGAAAAUAAAUAUGGCAACAUGGUUACAUGCCAUACUGCAGAGUUAGGCAAUUUUUAGGCAAGAUCUCAAGGGCACAAAAGGUUUUACAAUGGGGUGCUAAAACUUUUCCCCAAAAAAUCCCUGACCAGCUGGAGUGCUGAAACUGAUGUUUGACUAUUGAAAUAUCCUAGCAGGUUAGGUUCAUCAGAUUUUAGCUUUGUCAACCUGGCCACUCUGUUAUUACAGUAAUGGCUCAUUUAAAUAAUUUCAGGUCAUUACUGUAUAAAUGUAAAUACAAAGUAUUUGAAGUUAAUACUGCUGUAAAAUGUAGUUUAAUUAAUAAUACUGUAUUGAAGUGUAAACACGUUUCUCGCAGCGAUAAAUCAAUAUAUUGUAAAUAAUAAUCAUGUGAGAGUAGAACUUUACUGAGGGUCCGAGUAUAGUAUUAUAGGCCAUAGUCUGGCCAUGUGUU